This 165-nucleotide ribosomal RNA is filed under the name Myxotrichaceae sp. RNAcentral's name for it is "partial large subunit ribosomal RNA". It matches the Rfam family "Eukaryotic large subunit ribosomal RNA", at positions 99 to 261 of the family's 3401-position model. The record is from RNAcentral. Lineage: Eukaryota; Fungi; Ascomycota; Leotiomycetes; Myxotrichaceae.
CGGCAAGAGCUCAAAUUUGAAAUCUGGAGCCUUUGGCUUCCGAGUUGUAAUUUGAAGAGGAUGCUUCGGUUGUGGCCUGGGCCUAAGUUCCUUGGAACAGGACGUCACAGAGGGUGAGAAUCCCGUACGUGCCCGGUGGCCGCGCCCGUGUGAAGCUCUUUCGAC